UUGAACUUCAGGGACUCCCAGAAAGAU
This 27-nucleotide small RNA is filed under the name Bombyx mori (domestic silkworm). Its description in RNAcentral is "ovarian small RNA-37616". The record is from RNAcentral. Lineage: Eukaryota; Metazoa; Arthropoda; Insecta; Lepidoptera; Bombycidae.